UUUAAAGAAUGACUGUUUGUUUUCGAAUGAAAAGAAAAAAAGAUGUGGAGAUAAAUGUUUCUGAUUGGCUAGGCACUUUGGAAUGGGAAAAGAGAAGCUUGAAAGUUGAGACAGUUUGAGAAAGAAAAGAUUAUUAUGUUAUUGGCAUCGCUGAAGAGCAGUCAACGUUUUCGUGGAUAGUUAGAUAGCAAGUACCGGUGGGUGUUUUGAUAGUGGAGAAUAGAGCUGAAAAGUGGAACGAGAGACAGAUCAAAUUGAGACGAAAUACCUCUUUGAUUCUGUAUUAUUGUGAGAAGGAGAGGAGAGAAUUUUUGGAGUUUGUGUUUUGUUGGAGAAUUGGUGCUGGUAUGCUGAUAGAUUUGAAGCUUGAGAACGGAGAGGGCUUUGAUGGGUAGCCUAACAUAGUCAACGAGGGAGAGCUGUUUUGGGUCAAGAGAAGACAUCAGAGUGAGUGAAGCAAAAGUUGGGCUGUUCUCCACAAUAUACAGCUUCUAGAACAUCAAAGAUCGACAACCUAUCGCCUGGACCAGAAGCAUAUGACGUUAAACCUGUCAAAUGUAUGACACAAGCUGAUAGAAUUGCAGGCCACGAAAAAGUAAAAAAACUCUAUGUUUGUCGAGUUCCCUACACCCUUGUUGGAUCUGGACCUUCGGUGCCCACUAAACUUAAUGCUAAUGGUUAUUCUGUGAGUCAUUUUGGAGAUGUGAAGCCGAUUCCUGCCACAUACCACGAUACUACAUUAGGUCCAGCGUUUUAUGACAUGGUGCAAAAAUCUCGUUACGAAAAGCAAUACAGAGGCAUCGAUUGGCAAUGCAGCAAGACAAAAAGAGAUUCCUACAAAAUAGACACGAACAUUCCUGGACCCGCCGACUAUUCUCUAAAGAUACCUACGUGUCCUCGGAAUCAAGAAGACGAAGAAUUCCGCGAGAUGGCGCGACUAUACACUUUCCUUCCGCGAUACAUGGACAAGCAAGAAAUGAUUACAAAAAAUAAUAAUUAUCCUGGACCUGGUACAUACGACAUCGACAACGGAGAUACUUGCAGAUUAUGCCCUCCUCUUAAGCCAACGGCAUUUUUACGCAGAAGUAAGAGAUUUAAGUACGAAUAUCCAGAUACGCCUUCUGCUACAGCAUACCAAUUUUCACCAAGGAAAUACUCUACAUCGAAAUUAGCAGUCCCUUUUGGAAUUGCUAGUGCACGGUUUUCCCGUAAAAAAACUGCUGUUACACCCGGUCCUGCUGAAUACUCAAUUAAGAGCGCAAUAAGUGAACAUUUGGAGAAGAGUCUAGAGUAUUCUGUGUACAAGCCUCCGUUCGGAAAAUCCGCUCAAAGAGAAACGAUAGAGUUCUCCAAGGAUCUACUCAUUGUGCCAUCUCCCCAGGCGUAUAGCAUUCAAGAUGUGAAAUCCUGCAAACUGUACACGAGCAGCAUAUUCAAAUCGAAGGUUGCAAGGUUUACGAAGCAAUGUAAAACAUUAUAUGGUGCUCCUGCUCGCUAUAACGACAUGGAUGCUUUCAACGCCACUAAAAACUUCAAAUCGCACAAUGCUUUUGACGUUUCAUUCAACGCAACUAGUCGCAAAAAAGAACUAUUUGACGAAGUUAAUAUUAAGAAUCCUUGUCCUUCUUCAUACGAAGUUAGAAAGGGACUCAGUCAAAGAGGUUGCAUUGUACCACAAUCUCCAAGAUGGAAACAACCUGCGGAUAAUUUUCCUGGACCAGGAUCAUAUUUGAUUCAUCCGAAGAACCAAAGCAGCAUGUUUAACGCCUUCAAUACCUAUAAUUCGAUCUUGAAAGAAGAUGUACUUAGAACAAGCUUACGAAAAGAAAGUAAAUUUAAAUGGGCGAAACGGGCAAAGGAGCUAAAGAAAUGUAAGAAACUGAGGUGGUUCGAAAACGAAGGAAAAGGUUAUGUGCAUUGUCAUAAAGAUCUAACGAAGCAUACUGGACUACAAGAAGAAGAACAGCAGCCGUUUUCAAGAGCUACAAUUAGAAUAUAAUUAAAACAGCGUCUUGUUUAAGGUUACAUACCUUAAAUUUGUGUACCACUGGUGCAAUAGGUAAGUUGUACAGAAAACAACAAAAGAAGUUGUUUAUUUGGAAUGGGUCUGUAUUCGCGAUUGAAACGGAAUAUAGAGGGCAGAUCGAAUGCAAGAAAAUGGCCGAUAUAAAUGGUAUAAACAAACAUUCAAUUGAGGAAUAGAACAAUACCGAUUUGAUUUAAAAUAUUUUAAUGUACUCAUAAUGCUGAAAUUUACUAAAAAUUUCUUAAUAGUGACCAAAUUCCGUUCAAAUCAACAAUUUUAUGGUUUGUUUAUACCACUUAUAGUAGUUUAAAUUUAUUCCACCAGAGGUCAGCUACUUUU
Diabrotica virgifera virgifera (western corn rootworm) is the source of this 2365-nucleotide RNA transcript. It is a transcript of the gene named sperm-tail PG-rich repeat-containing protein 2-like, with no coding region annotated. Lineage: Eukaryota; Metazoa; Arthropoda; Insecta; Coleoptera; Chrysomelidae. The transcript is spliced from 11 exons. The record is from RefSeq and is a predicted model, not a curated record.